RNAcentral lists this ribosomal RNA (468 nucleotides) under uncultured bacterium. RNAcentral's name for it is "partial 16S ribosomal RNA". It matches the Rfam family "Bacterial small subunit ribosomal RNA", at positions 28 to 507 of the family's 1533-position model. The record is from RNAcentral.
GACGAACGCUGGCGGCGGGCUUAACACAUGCAAGUCGAACGGAAAGGCCCUGCUUGUGUGGGGUGCUCGAGUGGCGAACGGGUGAGUAACACGUGAGUAACCUGCCCUGGACUGUGGGAUAACUUCAGGAAACUGGGGCUAAUACCGGAGAGGAGCUCCUGCUGCAGGGGGGGGGUUGGAAAGUUUCGGCGGGGGGGGAUUGACUCGCGGCUUAUCAGCUUGUGGGUGGGGGAGUGGCUUAGCAAGGCAUUGACGGGUAGCCGGCCUGAGAGGGUGGCCGGCCACCUUGGGCCUGAGGUACGGCCCAGUCUCCUACGGGAGGCAGCAGUGGGGAAUCUUGCACAAUGGGGGCACGCCUGUUGCAGCGACGUCGCGUUCGUGAUGCCGGCUAUCUGGUUGUAAACCGCAUUCGCUUGUGACGAAGCGUUAGUGACGUUAACGGGUAAAGAAGCACCGGCUAACUACGUG